RNAcentral lists this long non-coding RNA (236 nucleotides) under Solanum tuberosum (potato). RNAcentral describes it as "long non-coding RNA (STUB_LNC002755)". The record is from RNAcentral. Lineage: Eukaryota; Viridiplantae; Streptophyta; Magnoliopsida; Solanales; Solanaceae.
UUUUUUUUACUCUUUCCGGUUGGUUUUUUUUUUUUUAUCAAUUUUCCUCUAUUUCUCCCUCUUUUUUAGUGAUCAAAAGAGAUGAAUAUACAGAUGGAAAUUAGGGGGAAAUCGGGUGAAAUUUCUCAUUUCAAAUUCAAAUUUCUUGCUCCUUUUCAAGGCCAACAGGGAGCAACUGAGUUUGGUAUGAAAUUUCUCCAAAAUCCCAGAAAAUCCGAGGCAGCAGGGCUGCUGCG